RNAcentral lists this ribosomal RNA (209 nucleotides) under uncultured bacterium. RNAcentral describes it as "partial 16S ribosomal RNA". It matches the Rfam family "Bacterial small subunit ribosomal RNA", at positions 1292 to 1500 of the family's 1533-position model. The record is from RNAcentral.
UUCGGAUUGUAGUCUGCAACCCGACUACAUGAAGCUGGAAUCGCUAGUAAUCGCGGAUCAGAAUGCCGCGGUGAAUACGUUCCCGGGCCUUGUACACACCGCCCGUCACACCAUGGGAGUCGGAAAUGCCCGAAGUCUGUGACCCAACCGGAAGGAAGGAGCAGCCGAAGGCAGGUCUGAUGACUGGGGUGAAGUCGUAACAAGGUAGC